RNAcentral lists this ribosomal RNA (457 nucleotides) under Pseudoglutamicibacter cumminsii. RNAcentral's name for it is "bacterial SSU rRNA". The record is from RNAcentral. Lineage: Bacteria; Bacillati; Actinomycetota; Actinomycetes; Micrococcales; Micrococcaceae.
CUAMCAUGCAGUCGACGCUGAAGCCUGGUGCUUGCACUGGGUGGAUGAGUGGCGAACGGGUGAGUAACACGUGAGUAACCUGCCCUUGACUUCGGGAUAAGCCCGGGAAACUGGGUCUAAUACUGGAUAUGACCUCCUGCCGCAUGGUGGGGGGUGGAAAGAUUUAUCGGUUGGGGAUGGACUCGCGGCCUAUCAGUUUGUUGGUGGGGUAAUGGCCUACCAAGACGACGACGGGUAGCCGGCCUGARAGGGUGACCGGCCACACUGGGACUGAGACACGGCCCARACUCCUACGGGAGGCAGCAGUGGGGAAUAUUGCACAAUGGGCGCAAGCCUGAUGCAGCGACGCCGCGUGAGGGAUGACGGCCUUCGGGUUGUAAACCUCUUUCAGUAGGGAAGCAGCCCUUUUWGGGUGACGGUACCUGCAGAAGAAGCGCCGGCUAACUACGUGCCAGCA